GCUGAUUUGGCCGAGUGGUCUAAGGCGGUGGUCUUAAGAUGCUACCAGUAUCACCAUUAUCGAGAGAUGCGUGAGUUCGAACCUCACAGUCAGCA
Molecule: transfer RNA, 95 nt
Filed under: Blumeria graminis f. sp. tritici
Lineage: Eukaryota; Fungi; Ascomycota; Leotiomycetes; Helotiales; Erysiphaceae
Also listed under: 1 other name
Rfam family: tRNA
About the family: Transfer RNA (tRNA) molecules are approximately 80 nucleotides in length. Their secondary structure includes four short double-helical elements and three loops (D, anti-codon, and T loops). Further hydrogen bonds mediate the characteristic L-shaped molecular structure. tRNAs have two regions of fundamental functional importance: the anti-codon, which is responsible for specific mRNA codon recognition, and the 3' end, to which the tRNAs corresponding amino acid is attached (by aminoacyl-tRNA synthetases). tRNAs cope with the degeneracy of the genetic code in two manners: having more than one tRNA (with a specific anti-codon) for a particular amino acid; and 'wobble' base-pairing, i.e. permitting non-standard base-pairing at the 3rd anti-codon position.
Source: Rfam by way of RNAcentral